This is a regulatory RNA element of 91 nucleotides. It matches the Rfam family "L31-Corynebacteriaceae ribosomal protein leader". The record is from Rfam.
ACUCGGGCACGAUCCCGCCCGGGGCGCGCACAGUUAACUACGGUGCGGGGCCUCGUAGGGCGGGAACCGACCCGCAGUAGUACCUGAGGGA